UUGGCUACUAUGCCAGCUGGUGGAUUGCUCGGCUCAGGCGCUGAUGAAGGACGUGCCAAGCUGCGAUAAGCCAUGGGGAGCCGCACGGAGGCGAAGAACCAUGGAUUUCCGAAUGAGAAUCUCUCUAACAAUUGCUUCGCGCAAUGAGGAACCCCGAGAACUGAAACAUCUCAGUAUCGGGAGGAACAGAAAACGCAACGUGAUGUCGUCAGUAACCGCGAGUGAACGCGAUACAGCCCAAACCGAAGCCCUCACGGGCAAUGUGGUGUCAGGGCUACCUCUCAUCAGCCGACCGUCUCG
RNAcentral lists this ribosomal RNA (300 nucleotides) under Haloarcula marismortui ATCC 33799. RNAcentral describes it as "bacterial LSU rRNA". It matches the Rfam family "Archaeal large subunit ribosomal RNA", at positions 1 to 323 of the family's 2987-position model. The record is from RNAcentral. Lineage: Archaea; Methanobacteriati; Methanobacteriota; Halobacteria; Halobacteriales; Haloarculaceae.